RNAcentral lists this long non-coding RNA (2278 nucleotides) under Equus caballus (horse). RNAcentral describes it as "lncRNA (ENSECAG00000049918.1)". The stretch from base 120 to 228 matches the Rfam family "SOX2 overlapping transcript exon 4". The record is from RNAcentral. Lineage: Eukaryota; Metazoa; Chordata; Mammalia; Perissodactyla; Equidae.
GUUUUGUUUUCGUUUUCUUCACAGCACAAUGGGCCCUUGGAAACGUGGUUAUAGGGGAAAAUGAUGCUUCUUGUAUCGGAAUAAUUGCAAACUAGACAUGCAAAGUGCUCAUCUGCUGGCGCGGGUCCAAGCCUGUAGCCCCAAAUCGGAUAAUCUCUGCAACUGAUAACAAGCAAAAGAGAAGCCAGGCAACAGCCAUAUUAAAGAAGAAAACAGUCAACUCAGAGGAUACAGACAGGCAGAAGUAACUAGACGUCCAAGGUCUUGCCGGCCCAGGAUUUCAAACAAAAGAAAACUCGGAUCCAACUUAGAAAUAAUGUUUCACUCAGCAUAAGGCUUGUGGUUUAGGAGAUUCUGGCCUGGCUUGCCUCAUUCUAAGACUUCUAUCAUCUCUUUUCAAAACCAAAGGAGGAUCUCAUUUCCUGUUUGAUAGUUCCUCAUGCUUUGCCAGCCUCCGGGUCUUUAAGGAAACUUGCCAAGAGUUCCAGGCUGGGAAGGACAGUCAGAGUUCAUCACAGAGAAUGAGCUGGCACCACCGGUAUGGUGACUCACCAACCUGGUUGCCCAUUUUGCAAUGGCAAGAACCACACUAUCUACUUGAAAGACCUGUGUUUUAGCAAAGUGCAAUUGGAUCACCUGCAAAAUCAUCUCAAAAUAUAUCUCUGAUCUUCCCUUUCACUGGCUGUUUUGAACACAAGACAAGAUGCCACCCUGGGAGUUUUAUUUUCUCCAGGAAAGUAGAGUUGUCUUUGGGAAUUCUAGCUUGCGAACUCACUAUGUAAAUGUGGUCAUCAAGCAAGACGGAACUGCCAAGAGGGAAGAUUUUGAAUGUUUCUCUUUCUUAAAACCCUUUACAGCAUUCCUUCUUCCAGUGGUACUUUACUCAAAAGUUUUCCCCUUUCCCCAGCGCUGUUGAAAAUGGCUCCAAAGCAAAACUGCAGUAGCUAAACCAGUUGUACUGUGAAGUUGUUGAGGUGACAUUUCAUCUGAAUCCUUUGUAAAAAUUAGAUUUUAAGUAAGGGUGAAUGUCCAUUUGGGAAAAGGGACAAGGGAGGGUGGAAGGAGAGAGGGAGAGGACCGAGCAGUUUAUAUACAUAUAUGCUCUUUGUGUUUGAAGGCCUCUCUGUCUUGGCUUCUCACUAUGUUAAAUCCCUAUGAUAAAACUUAUCUUCACAAAGCCUAUUAUAGUAUUCUGAGAACAAAUUGGACCAUGAAUAACUUAGUUGGAAGUGUAGAUUAUUUUCUACUCAGGGCAAGUUAGCGAUGACAACAGCUUAACUAAAAGAAUAGUGAUUAAUCUUAAAUAGAUAGAUUUCAAAGUUUCCCUCUUGGCAAAGUGCACCUUUGAUAUCUGUCCUCUUCAGAGGCAGGUUUCCACUUUCUUUGAAUUAAGAAUUGUCCUAGUGAAUACACUGUCCACUUGACACACCAGGGCUCUAAGCGUAGAUCUUUUUCUCAUAGGUCGUUAAUGUGUCAGAGAGGGGACCAGAAGGACUCUCUACUUCCCAUUGGUUAAAUGUCUGGUUCCAAAGUGGGACCUGUGCUUAGACAUCCAACUCACUGUUAGAAAUGAUACCUUGCAUAAGGCAUAAUUUUUCAAUUAGAUACAAUUAUUUUUUAAAAACAUCUUAAAUUUGUUGAAUGCCCUGUAGCUUACAAAGCACUUCUCAAGUCGUAAUAUUGUUUGAUCCUUAGAAUCAUGUUAUGAAGUAAACAAAUAUCAUUAAUCCCACUUUACCAAGGAAGCUGUCGUUUGCGCUCUGUGAUCCUGCUGAUCAAAGGAAAUAUUAACUCAAAUUUUAUAGCUUCUGUUUCAAGUGAUUAACCUAUAGCAAGAGGCUUUUGAAUUAUUUUUGUGUUCUAUAUCCCUGAAAGUCAAAAUUUUUAUUAAAGAGUAAAAUUUUUAUGUUUCACAGAUAAAGAAGUUAAAAGAACUGAUUGGAAAAAACUCUUCACUUAGAAAUGAAUUUUGCUAAUUAUUGUUUUCCUUUGCAUGUACAUACACAUAUAUAUUUAUAUUUCAACGGUCUUUCAGAGUUGAAGAUCUUACUUUCUAAAAGUCAAGUAUGGGCAGUCCUGUAUAAAUUAAAUAACUACGUGGAAUUUUAAAAGGUACCUGAAAACUAUGUUUCAAAAUACAAUAUUACAAUAAAAACCCUUUAGAAGCAGGUUCAGAAUAUUAACUAAUUAUUUAACAGCAUGCCAUUGAUUAAGUUCUAGAGUGCUAUAGGCGAGGUUUCCCUUCUGGUGUUUUUUUUUCCAGCUUUAUUGAGAUAUA